This 1083-nucleotide long non-coding RNA is filed under the name Prunus persica (peach). RNAcentral's name for it is "long non-coding RNA (PPER_LNC002642)". The record is from RNAcentral. Lineage: Eukaryota; Viridiplantae; Streptophyta; Magnoliopsida; Rosales; Rosaceae.
CAAAUUUUAGUUGUUAUACUAGGAUCGGAAAAGGAAAAAAAAAGUUAGGAGACAUGGGCUUAGCCAAGUUGGCUAUAGCAAAUAUGCUCCUCUCUACACUCGAUUUCAAAUCUCUCUCCCCGUAAUUUAUAUUAGAUUAAAGUAGAAUAUGACUUUUAUAUAAAAAAUAAAAUAAAAUAAAUAAACAUAAAAUUAAAUUUUGGGUAUACAAAAUCAUGUUUUUAUUGAUGUUGGGGUUAUUUUGUGAUAUGGGCCUUCGCAUGUUCAACCUAGUUCUUUGAGGAUUUGCUGAUGAUGGAGAUCGCGCCAAGGAGUAGGAUUACAUUUCAUGUGCAAGGUCUGCAUCUGUGUCUAUUUUUUCAUUAUUUCCUUUCAUUUCUGUACUCAAGAUAAGUUUUUUUUUUUUUUUCCUUUUUUUGAAAAGAUAUUGAUAAGGUAUUACAUCUGAUCUUCAACAAAAACAUCAGAUAAGUCUGGACCUUUUUCUCUCUCUCUCUCUCUCUCUCUCUCUCUCUCUCUCUCUCUCUCUCUCUCUCUCUCUCUCUCUCUCUCUCUCCCUGUCCUAACCUAUUUUUCAGUGUAAAUCGUUGGAUACAUCUCCUUUUUUUUUCUUUUUUUUCAAUAAAUGGCUGAUAAACAUUAUUCAAGCACUAAUACAAAACCAGGUAGCUAUUGGAAAACAUAUAUAAUUUCCUUAAUUAACGUGGUUAAGUGGGCAGAAGAUUAUAAACUUGAAACUUAAGCAACACGCCAAGUUUCCAAAUACCAAUCUCAUUUUUCGAUUGGACUAAUUGGAACCGCCACCACAAUCACUUUCCCUAUAAAUAAGUAACCAGUAACAUCUAUUAUUCUUACACUCGCUUAAUUCUAUUGCCUUUUGCCUUCCUUCUCUUCCAAGUAAUUUCAUACUCUCUCUUGCCCUACUAGCUUCUAAUUAGAAACCCUCGUUCCCUACUAGUUUCGAAUUAGAAACCCUCGUUCCCUAUUAGCUUCUAGUUAGAAACCCUCGUUCCCUACUAGCUUCUAAUUGGAAACCUUCCUUCUUCUUCUUCUUUUUUUUUUUUCAGGAGAAACCUUCCUUCU